UCUCGCCCGAGCUUUACUUCCUCUCCAAGCUUCCGGCUGAAGUCGAUGUCGGAGAGACCGCCGCGGUGGUGAUCAUGGCAUUGACGCUGUCGUUCCUGGCGACGCUGUACCCGUCAUGGCGGGGGGGGCGGNNNNNGAAGCGCUCAGGUACGAAUGAGCGCACAGAUGGAGCAGGGGGAAAAUGGCGUACCGGUCGUUUAUCUGCACGACGUCCGCAGGCGCUACAAACAGGGCGAAGCCACGCUGACCAUUCUCGACGGCGCCAGUCUG
This 270-nucleotide unclassified non-coding RNA is filed under the name Hevea brasiliensis (rubber tree). The record is from RNAcentral. Lineage: Eukaryota; Viridiplantae; Streptophyta; Magnoliopsida; Malpighiales; Euphorbiaceae.